AUUGAACGCUGGCGGCAGGCCUAACACAUGCAAGUCGAGCGGAUGAAGGGAGCUUGCUCCUGGAUUCAGCGGCGGACGGGUGAGUAAUGCCUAGGAAUCUGCCUGGUAGUGGGGGAUAACGUCCGGAAACGGGCGCUAAUACCGCAUACGUCCUGAGGGAGAAAGUGGGGGAUCUUCGGACCUCACUCUAUCAGAUGAGCCUAGGUCGGAUUAGCUAGUUGGUGGGGUAAAGGCCUACCAAGGCGACGAUCCGUAACUGGUCUGAGAGGAUGAUCAGUCACACUGGAACUGAGACACGGUCCAGACUCCUACGGGAGGCAGCAGUGGGGAAUAUUGGACAAUGGGCGAAAGCCUGAUCCAGCCAUGCCGCGUGUGUGAAGAAGGUCUUCGGAUUGUAAAGCACUUUAAGUUGGGAGGAAGGGCAGUAAGUUAAUACCUUGCUGUUUUGACGUUACCAACAGAAUAAGCACCAGCUAACUUCGUG
This 484-nucleotide ribosomal RNA is filed under the name uncultured bacterium. RNAcentral describes it as "partial 16S ribosomal RNA". It matches the Rfam family "Bacterial small subunit ribosomal RNA", at positions 30 to 507 of the family's 1533-position model. The record is from RNAcentral.